RNAcentral lists this ribosomal RNA (607 nucleotides) under Camptobasidiaceae sp. RNAcentral's name for it is "partial large subunit ribosomal RNA". It matches the Rfam family "Eukaryotic large subunit ribosomal RNA", at positions 52 to 655 of the family's 3401-position model. Lineage: Eukaryota; Fungi; Basidiomycota; Microbotryomycetes; Kriegeriales; Camptobasidiaceae. The record is from RNAcentral.
GGAGGAAAAGAAACUAACAAGGAUUCCCCUAGUAACGGCGAGUGAAGCGGGAAGAGCUCAAAUUUGUAAUCUGGCACUUUCAGUGUCCGAGUUGUAAUCUCGAGAAGUGUUUUCCGCGCCGGACCGCAUACAAGUCUGUUGGAAUACAGCGUCAUAGUGGUGAGAGCCCCGUAACUGAUGCGGAUGCCCGGUGCUUUGUGAUACACUUUCGAAGAGUCGAGUUGUUUGGGAAUGCAGCUCAAAUUGGGUGGUAAAUUCCAUCUAAAGCUAAAUAUUGGCGAGAGACCGAUAGCGAACAAGUACCGUGAGGGAAAGAUGAAAAGCACUUUGGAAAGAGAGUUAACAGUACGUGAAAUUGUUGGAAGGGAAACGCUUGAAGUCAGACUUGCUAUUCGGAAUUCAGCCGCAAGGUGUACUUUUCGAUUUGCAGGCCAGCAUCAGUUUUUGGGGGUGGAAAAGGGUGGAGAGAAGGUAGCAACCCCGGUUGUGUUAUAGCUCUUCACUGGAUUCAUCUUCGGGGACUGAGGAUCGCAGCGCGCUUUAUUGCAAGGCUCUCGAGCUUUUCGCGCUUAGGAUGCUGGUGGAAUGGCUUUAAACGACCCGUCUU